This 305-nucleotide ribosomal RNA is filed under the name Aeromonas salmonicida subsp. salmonicida 01-B526. RNAcentral describes it as "bacterial SSU rRNA". It matches the Rfam family "Bacterial small subunit ribosomal RNA", at positions 199 to 525 of the family's 1533-position model. Lineage: Bacteria; Pseudomonadati; Pseudomonadota; Gammaproteobacteria; Aeromonadales; Aeromonadaceae. The record is from RNAcentral.
GGGGAAAGAUUUAUCGCCAAAGGAUUAGCCCGCGUUGGAUUAGGUAGUUGGUGGGGUAAUGGCCUACCAAGCCGACGAUCCAUAGCUGGUUUGAGAGGAUGAUCAGCCACACUGGGACUGAGACACGGCCCAGACUCCUACGGGAGGCAGCAGUGGGGAAUCUUAGACAAUGGGGGCAACCCUGAUCUAGCCAUGCCGCGUGAGUGAUGAAGGCCCUAGGGUUGUAAAGCUCUUUCAGAGGGAAGAUAAUGACGGUACCAUCAGAAGAAGCCCCGGCUAACUCCGUGCCAGCCGCCGCGGUAAUU